UGUGAAUUCUUGCAAUGAGAUUUGCACGCUUGUAGAAUGUUUUCUUACAUAUAUAUUUUUUUCUUGGAUGCUUUUUCUAGCACAAACACAAGUGCAUAACUACAACGGCGUGAAUCUGCUGCUACGAGUCUCAAACACUGUUUUUCGCUUGCAAAUGACAAGUUUCACGCUCUCUCCCUUUUGCACCACCUAUCUGUGUGAAAAAUGGUGCAAAAGUGAUUUGUGCAUCUGUAGAGGCAACGGCGGGCACUGUUCAGAGAGCAGAGAAUUUCGGCCAAUCAGAAGAGCUCAUUUGGGCGCCUGAAACACGCCCCCUAGUUUUAGCCACAACCCCGAAAAAUCGCGAGCUGCGAGCAUCUUGACAGCGACAAGUAUCAAAAAAGAAAAAUGACAGAUCAGGGUGCAUCUUCGCAGUGUCCCAAGAGCAGCUGAAACAGCUUGUUAAAUUUUGGGUUGGAUGGGAGAUACCCAUGGCUAGCAUGAAAGUGGAGGUGGUUCGAGCGGAAUAUCCCACUUCAUCCACAUGCUUCCGCACCCUUCGCUUACCUGGUUACUACAACAGUUUCAGAGAAUAUAGUGUUCAUUUAGACAACUGCAUUGCAACCUAACUAAGAAACACUGUUUACCAACGUAGCUAUAUUUAAGCUAUAAACAAAUGAUUUCAGAAAGAAAAAAUACCCACGUACCUUUUUUGAUACUUGUCGCUAUCAAGAUGCUCGCAGCUCGCGAUUUUUCGGGGUUGUGGCUAAAACUAGGGGGCGUGUUUCAGGCGCCCAAAUGAGCUCUUCUGAUUGGCCGAAAUUCUCUGCUCUCUGAACAGUGCCCGCCGUUGCCUCUACAGAUGCACAAAUCACUUUUGCACCAUUUUUCACACAGAUAGGUGGUGCAAAAGGGAGAGAGCGUGAAACUUGUCAUUUGCAAGCGAAAAACAGUGUUUGAGACUCGUAGCAGCAGAUUCACGCCGUUGUAGUUAUGCACUUGUGUUUGUGCUAGAAAAAGCAUCCAAGAAAAAAAUAUAUAUGUAAGAAAACAUUCUACAAGCGUGCAAAUCUCAUUGCAAGAAUUCACAAACUGAUUUGCGGAUGUACAAAAUUCGUCCGUGACUUCAC
Molecule: long non-coding RNA, 1109 nt
Organism: Sinocyclocheilus rhinocerous
Lineage: Eukaryota; Metazoa; Chordata; Actinopteri; Cypriniformes; Cyprinidae
Exons: 3
Source: RefSeq, a predicted model, not a curated record